CGUGAUUUGGGCUAUAUUACGGACCCAAAAUUACUUGUUCAAGCAUUGUUUUCGAAUUUUUUCAUGCAUCAAAGCUCGUUAAGACUAGAUGGGGUAUCCCUACAUAGCGGGUGGGACCCACGGCGAAUGGUUCAUCAAGUCUUCAAAAAAGAAUAUAUACGAUUGCAUUGCAUAUACUAACGGAUGCGAUCAUACCAGCACUAAUGCACCGGAUCCCAUCAGAACUCUGCAGUUAAGCGUGCUUGGGCGAGAGUAGUACUAGGAUGGGUGACCUCCCGGGAAGUCCCCGUGUUGCAUCCCUCUUUUAUGUUUAACCUUUUUUUUUUUGGUUAAAACUUUAUGACUCCAUAACUUUUAGACCGUGAGGCCAAACUUGGCAUGUGAUACCUUUUCGGAAAGCCCAAAGACAGCCCUCCGACGAAAGAAGCAGGACAAUGGAACUUUUCCAUUGACGUUUUGUCGACCCCAAAUUUUGACCUUUAAAUACUUUUUCGGG
This 496-nucleotide ribosomal RNA is filed under the name Arabidopsis arenosa. The record is from RNAcentral. Lineage: Eukaryota; Viridiplantae; Streptophyta; Magnoliopsida; Brassicales; Brassicaceae.